This 253-nucleotide ribosomal RNA is filed under the name uncultured bacterium. RNAcentral's name for it is "partial 16S ribosomal RNA". It matches the Rfam family "Bacterial small subunit ribosomal RNA", at positions 524 to 776 of the family's 1533-position model. The record is from RNAcentral.
UACGUAGGGGGCUAGCGUUGUCCGGAAUCAUUGGGCGUAAAGAGCGUGUAGGCGGCCCGGUAAGUCCGCUGUGAAAGUCGGGGGCUCAACCCUCGAAUGCCGGUGGAUACUGUCGGGCUAGAGUACGGAAGAGGCGAGUGGAAUUCCCGGUGUAGCGGUGAAAUGCGCAGAUAUCGGGAGGAACACCAAUUGCGAAGGCAGCUCGCUGGGACGUCACUGACGCUGAGACGCGAAAGCGUGGGGAGCAAACAGG